Molecule: ribosomal RNA, 464 nt
Filed under: uncultured bacterium
Lineage: Bacteria
Description: partial 16S ribosomal RNA
Rfam family: Bacterial small subunit ribosomal RNA
Source: RNAcentral
ACGAACGCUGGCGGCGUGCUUAACACAUGCAAGUCGAACGGAAAGGCCCUGCUUGCCGGGUACUCGAGUGGCGAACGGGUGAGUAACACGUGGGUGAUCUGCCCUGCACUUCGGGAUAAGCCUGGGAAACUGGGUCUAAUACCGGAUAGGAGCCAUUUUUAGUGUGAUGGUUGGAAAGUUUUUUCGGUGUAGGAUGAGCUCGCGGCCUAUCAGCUUGUCGGUGGGGUAAUGGCCUACCAAGGCGGCGACGGGUAGCCGGCCUGAGAGGGUGGACGGCCACAUUGGGACUGAGAUACGGCCCAGACUCCGACGGGAGGCAGCAGUGGGGAAUAUUGCACAAUGGGCGCAAGCCUGAUGCAGCGACGCCGCGUGGGGGAUGACGGCCUUCGGGUUGUAAACUCCUUUCGCUAGGGACGAAGCUUUUUGUGACGGUACCUAGAGAAGAAGCACCGGCUAACUACGUG